Molecule: ribosomal RNA, 376 nt
Filed under: uncultured bacterium
Lineage: Bacteria
Description: bacterial SSU rRNA
Rfam family: Bacterial small subunit ribosomal RNA
Source: RNAcentral
AACGUAGGAGCCUAGCGUUAUCCGAAUUCACUGGGCGUAAAGCGCGUGCAGGCGGUUCGGUAAGUUGGAUGUGAAAUCUCCUGGCUCAACUGGGAGAGGACGUUCAAGACUGUCGGACUAGAGGACGGUAGAGGAAGGUAGAAUUCCCGGUGUAGUGGUGAAAUGCGUAGAUAUCGGGAGGAAUACCAGUGGCGAAGGCGGCCUUCUGGGCCGUUCCUGACGCUCAGACGCGAAAGCUAGGGGAGCAAACGGGAUUAGAAACCCCGGUAGUCCUAGCCGUAAACGAUGUAGACUUGGUGUCGGUGGGGUAAAAGCCAGCGGUGCCGAAGCCAACGCGAUAAGUCUACCGCCUGGGGACUACGGCCGCAAGGUUAAA